AUGCUCCUGAAUCGAGGCCAGCAAUUUGCUGAAGCAGGAGCCUAAAGACAUGUCUUCCUACAGUCUGUUGGUCAUUUCAGAACUAUAGAAAUGUAAUGGCCAAUUCAUUAGAAAGAAACAUCA
Molecule: small nucleolar RNA, 123 nt
Filed under: Castor canadensis (American beaver)
Lineage: Eukaryota; Metazoa; Chordata; Mammalia; Rodentia; Castoridae
Source: RNAcentral